RNAcentral lists this long non-coding RNA (565 nucleotides) under Homo sapiens (human). Its description in RNAcentral is "HSALNT0293163". Lineage: Eukaryota; Metazoa; Chordata; Mammalia; Primates; Hominidae. The record is from RNAcentral.
ACUGGACUCGAGUGAUCCUCCAACCUCGGCCUCCUGAGUACAUAUUCCCUGGUCUAUAGAUGAAGAAAUGAAGGUUCAAGAAUACUGGACAUCUGGACUAAUUAAAUGACAACUAAAUGGCAGAAAUGGUAUUUAAGCUCAGGCCUAGCAGAUGCAAAGUCAUGGGCACAUGUCAAGAAAGACGAGAUAUAUCAUUUUUUCCCACAUAGAUCCUGGAUUAUUACUAUCCUUCGAAUUUAUUUCUAUAAUCUCUAAGUCAGGUGGAACAGAGCUAUAAUUUAUUAGAGUGAAACUUUGGAGGUGCAUACAGUAGUCACAUUAUUAUGUUCAUCUCCUACAGGAACAACUUUUGAUUUCAUUUCAUUACAUUGAAAGAGCAAAAGAUGGGUAAAGAAGAAUACAAGUAGAUUUUGGGAUGUGUCUGCAAAUGCAAGUGUGGAAUACAUAGAAGAACACUAAAUAGGAAUCAACAGAAAGGAAGGUAAAGAACUGAGAGAAUAGAUGUUGCACAAGCCAAAAGUAAAAGAAACAAAUGGUGAUGUACCUAAGAAGUACUGUAAUCUAA